AUCCAUCUGACGAGUCCCAAAUAGGACGAAACGUGCGUCCUGGAU
Schistosoma mattheei is the source of this 45-nucleotide non-coding RNA. Lineage: Eukaryota; Metazoa; Platyhelminthes; Trematoda; Strigeidida; Schistosomatidae. The record is from Rfam.